ACACAGGCCCUUCUUAGGGCCAAACAAAAUUGCAUUCUCAGCUUG
Molecule: non-coding RNA, 45 nt
Organism: Ixodes scapularis (black-legged tick)
Lineage: Eukaryota; Metazoa; Arthropoda; Arachnida; Ixodida; Ixodidae
Source: Rfam